RNAcentral lists this ribosomal RNA (301 nucleotides) under uncultured bacterium. RNAcentral's name for it is "partial 16S ribosomal RNA". It matches the Rfam family "Bacterial small subunit ribosomal RNA", at positions 509 to 808 of the family's 1533-position model. The record is from RNAcentral.
CAGUAGCCGCGGGAAUACGUAGGUCCCGAGCGUUGUCCGGAUUUAUUGGGCGUAAAGCGAGCGCAGGCGGUUAGAUAAGUCUGAAGUUAAAGGCUGUGGCCUAACCAUAGUACGCUUUGGAAACUGUUUAACUUGAGUGCAAGAGGGGAGAGUGGAAUUCCAUGUGUAGCGGUGAAAUGCGUAGAUAUAUGGAGGAACACCGGUGGCGAAAGCGGCUCUCUGGCUUGUAACUGACGCUGAGGCUCGAAAGCGUGGGGAGCAAACAGGAUUAGAUACCCCUGUAGUCCCUGUCUCUUAUACA